GCCGGUGUGGCGGAAUGGCAGACGCGGCAGACUCAAAAUCUGUUGAUGGUGACAUUGUGCGGGUUCAAGUCCCGCCGCCGGCA
Molecule: transfer RNA, 83 nt
Filed under: Lachnospiraceae bacterium
Lineage: Bacteria; Bacillati; Bacillota; Clostridia; Lachnospirales; Lachnospiraceae
Description: tRNA-Leu
Rfam family: tRNA
About the family: Transfer RNA (tRNA) molecules are approximately 80 nucleotides in length. Their secondary structure includes four short double-helical elements and three loops (D, anti-codon, and T loops).
Source: RNAcentral